This is a long non-coding RNA of Drosophila montana, 419 nucleotides long. RefSeq lists it as uncharacterized. NCBI's taxonomy places the organism in Eukaryota, Metazoa, Arthropoda, Insecta, Diptera, Drosophilidae. The transcript has 3 exons. The record is from RefSeq and is a predicted model, not a curated record.
AUUACAUUGUGGAAGAUAAUUUCAAAUAUGAAAAAUAAUCAAAUAUUUUUUAAAAUCAACAAAUACCCAAUAUCUAAUUGCUGCCAGAAAAUUGGGCUCGUGUGUUGGCCAGCGCCGUUUCUAAUUAAGCAGCACUCGUUGUUGGCUGAUUUGGACAUGGGCAGCGCACGCACUGGACGACAAAUGUGCUAGUAAACAGCCUAAGCUGCCGGAGCAUUAGCCAACCAGGCAGCCGGGCAGCGAGUCGGUCCAGCUUUGUACCACGCCGUUUCUGCUUAAUUGUUUGCGAAAUUCUUUUAGCCGCCUUUUGUUUGAUUUAAUUAAUUAUUUAAUUACGCUUGAAGUUGGCAAUUUUGCCGGGUUUUUUGCACUUGUCUCUGGCUUUGACUUUGUCCGAACACACACACACACACGUGCAC